Molecule: ribosomal RNA, 492 nt
Filed under: uncultured bacterium
Lineage: Bacteria
Description: partial 16S ribosomal RNA
Rfam family: Bacterial small subunit ribosomal RNA
Source: RNAcentral
AGUGAACGCUGGCGGUAGGCCUAACACAUGCAAGUCGAACGGCAGCACAGUAAGAGCUUGCUCUUACGGGUGGCGAGUGGCGGACGGGUGAGGAAUACAUCGGAAUCUACUUUUUCGUGGGGGAUAACGUAGGGAAACUUACGCUAAUACCUCAUACGACCUACGGGUGAAAGCAGGGGAUCUUCGGACCUUGCGCGAUUGAAUGAGCCGAUGUCGGAUUAGCUAGUUGGCGGGGUAAAGGCCCACCAAGGCGACGAUCCGUAGCUGGUCUGAGAGGAUGAUCAGCCACACUGGAACUGAGACACGGUCCAGACUCCUACGGGAGGCAGCAGUGGGGAAUAUUGGACAAUGGGCGCAAGCCUGAUCCAGCCAUACCGCGUGGGUGAAGAAGGCCUUCGGGUUGUAAAGCCCUUUUGUUGGGAAAGAAAAGCAGCAGGUUAAUACCCCGCUGUUCUGGCGGUACCCAAAGAAUAAGCACCGGCUAACUUCGUG